AUCCGAAUGGAGAAGAAAAAGGAAGGGGACGCAGCUGAUCAGAAAAGACGCCAUCUCACUGCCACCCGAGUUCUCCCUACCUGUGUAUACAUCACUGCAGUGAUGACAUGCCUAUAUAUCCAAAUCAGCGUUGCAGCCAAUCACCCCAAGACCUGAAGUUCAUGUCCACCUGAAGUCCAUGUGACAAAACUUUUGCAAGCUCAUCACCCUGAACUCCACCAUGGCACACAGGCCUGACACUCCAACCAG
This is a long non-coding RNA of Hyla sarda, 249 nucleotides long. RefSeq lists it as uncharacterized. The record is from RefSeq and is a predicted model, not a curated record. Lineage: Eukaryota; Metazoa; Chordata; Amphibia; Anura; Hylidae. The transcript has 2 exons.